CGAAGGGGAAGAAAAGCUGUAUCGAUUGUUGAGAUCUGGCGACUUGUUUAAAUUUCAUCAGCCUCACUUCUAUGAACUCUCAGGCCUCACGUGUACCAGCUCUCUGCUCUCCUUUGCCUUGGGACGUUCCAUCCCUGGAAGUUUCCCUGCCCACAUCUUUGUAGAGAGUCCAUUCUCCAAGCUUCAGUGUGUCAUCUGUGAGGACCGUGACCCACCUGGUACAUCGCCUCAGGGCAUUCAUUUCAGGCUCCUUCUAAAUGGCCAAGAGACAACACCAACAUUUUUGUAAUGGCCUGCAAGGCCUUCCGAGAUCUACCUCCUGCAACUCAGCUUCUCCUGUGCUCUCCUUCUGGACUCACUCUGCCUCAGCAACACUGGUCCCUGUUGCCCCACCAAUAUGCCAGGCCAUGAGAGAAGCAGUACCUUAUAAUGGUUCCUUGUUCAAAGCACUCAAUAUUCCUAGGAUGUGGUCUCCCAGCUGACUUCAUAACUGAAUCAUCAGUAAUUAAUUUCAUUGUUCUAUUAGGACUUUACUGAAGACUCUAAGGAGGACCUGUAUCUGUUGGGAUCCUCAGGGCAAGCCACAGAAACAAGCUUUGGAUACUAGAAGCAGAAAAUGGAGAUAUUGAAGACUAUUGUGGAGUUUACUGUGAGCCAGAGAACCAGGCUGGGGGGCUGUAUCACUUAGAAUGAGAUCCAAACUCACACCAUAGUUCCAUCCUUGAGGUUGCCAUGUUGCUGCCACCCCUCCUGCCACCCCACCACUGAAGCUUUGGAUGCUGGAUUCUGGGCACAGCAGGGAGAAGUGUUGCUUAUUACCAUUUUAGUAUGUUUUCUUUCAAGACCUUUUCAAAAUAUACAUACGUAUUUUUAUUUCUAUUCAAAAUGGGAUACAUUUUUGAAGGUUAGCAAUAUAUUGUGAACAUUUUCUUUCCAUGCUCAGAAACAUUUUUCUAUAAUGUAAUUUAUAGUGAUAUAAACUAUCUCAUAGACCUACCAUAGUUUACCUAACAAAUCCCAAAUCAUUUGUGCCAUUUCUAAAUUUUUAUUAUUUUAUGUAAUGCUUUAAUGAACAUCCUUGCAUUUAUAUUUUAUACAAUUUUAGAAGUGGAAUUACUGGUUCAAAAUACAUGGUGAUUUUUAAUUCUUCUGUUGAAUAUUGACAAAUUGCAAUCCUGAGAGUUAUCUUGAAGGAUAGAGUACAUGCCCAGGGUUCUUUUUUAAGAAAUAAUUUGUAAUGUGAAACAGAAUAGGCUAAAUGUUUUUUAUUCUCUUAGUCCUACUCUGUCAUUCUGCAGAGUUUCACUUAUUUGGAUUCAAAUUCUAAUUCCAGCCUACCUCUCUUUUUAUAUAAUUGUUAGGAGGAUUAAAUUAGAUGCAUAAAAUUGCUGCUUACUACAUACAUUGCACAAACUAAAAACUUUUCAAAGGUUAACUGUUUUUCUGGUUUAUUUUUAAGACACAGGUUCUUGCUCUGUUGCCCAGGCUGGAGUGCAGUGGUGUGAUCACGGCUCACUAUAGCCUCAUCCUGCUGCACUGAAGUGAUCCUCUUGCCUCAGCCUCCUGAGUAGCUAGGACUACAGGCACGUGCCACCAUACCCAGCUAUUUUUUUAAAAAUACAUUUUUGUUGAGGCUGGGUCCCCUUUGUUGUCCAGGCUGGUCUUAAGCUCCUGGCCUCAAGCAAUCCUUCCACUUCUACCUCCCAAAGUGUUGAGAUUAGAGGUGUGAGCCACUCCACCUGACCCAAAGGUUAACUAUUAUUAUUGUUAUUAUUAGUCUGUUUUUUUCCAUUCAUUUCCUCAUUAGUCAACUUUUAUUGUUUCAAUGUUAUUUUAUUGUUUUUCAAAGACUCCUUAUAGUCACAAUAUGUACAUAAUAAAUUUUACCCUUUAAGGACACUGAGGUUCCAAAUGAAAAUGAUAUUUUUAAGGUGAAACAAUUAUAGAUAGAAAAACAACUUUUUUUUCUGUGAGUACUAGAUUUCAUAUUAUCCUUAAUGUCUUUCUAGGUAGUAACCAAGUGAUUUCUCAUAAACUGGAAAACAUUAUUCCCACUGAUAUUCUUAAAAACAUUUAGGAUUAAAAAAUGUAUUUUAAA
Long non-coding RNA from Homo sapiens (human), 2098 nucleotides. Ensembl annotates it as testis expressed 41. Its record names the gene TEX41. Lineage: Eukaryota; Metazoa; Chordata; Mammalia; Primates; Hominidae. The record is from Ensembl.